RNAcentral lists this ribosomal RNA (1551 nucleotides) under Staphylococcus haemolyticus. RNAcentral's name for it is "bacterial SSU rRNA". It matches the Rfam family "Bacterial small subunit ribosomal RNA". RNAcentral also lists the same sequence under 1 other name. Lineage: Bacteria; Bacillati; Bacillota; Bacilli; Caryophanales; Staphylococcaceae. The record is from RNAcentral.
UUUAUGGAGAGUUUGAUCCUGGCUCAGGAUGAACGCUGGCGGCGUGCCUAAUACAUGCAAGUCGAGCGAACAGACAAGGAGCUUGCUCCUUUGACGUUAGCGGCGGACGGGUGAGUAACACGUGGGUAACCUACCUAUAAGACUGGGAUAACUUCGGGAAACCGGAGCUAAUACCGGAUAAUAUUUCGAACCGCAUGGUUCGAUAGUGAAAGAUGGUUUUGCUAUCACUUAUAGAUGGACCCGCGCCGUAUUAGUUAGUUGGUAAGGUAACGGCUUACCAAGGCGACGAUACGUAGCCGACCUGAGAGGGUGAUCGGCCACACUGGAACUGAGACACGGUCCAGACUCCUACGGGAGGCAGCAGUAGGGAAUCUUCCGCAAUGGGCGAAAGCCUGACGGAGCAACGCCGCGUGAGUGAUGAAGGUCUUCGGAUCGUAAAACUCUGUUAUUAGGGAAGAACAUACGUGUAAGUAACUAUGCACGUCUUGACGGUACCUAAUCAGAAAGCCACGGCUAACUACGUGCCAGCAGCCGCGGUAAUACGUAGGUGGCAAGCGUUAUCCGGAAUUAUUGGGCGUAAAGCGCGCGUAGGCGGUUUUUUAAGUCUGAUGUGAAAGCCCACGGCUCAACCGUGGAGGGUCAUUGGAAACUGGAAAACUUGAGUGCAGAAGAGGAAAGUGGAAUUCCAUGUGUAGCGGUGAAAUGCGCAGAGAUAUGGAGGAACACCAGUGGCGAAGGCGACUUUCUGGUCUGUAACUGACGCUGAUGUGCGAAAGCGUGGGGAUCAAACAGGAUUAGAUACCCUGGUAGUCCACGCCGUAAACGAUGAGUGCUAAGUGUUAGGGGGUUUCCGCCCCUUAGUGCUGCAGCUAACGCAUUAAGCACUCCGCCUGGGGAGUACGACCGCAAGGUUGAAACUCAAAGGAAUUGACGGGGACCCGCACAAGCGGUGGAGCAUGUGGUUUAAUUCGAAGCAACGCGAAGAACCUUACCAAAUCUUGACAUCCUUUGACAACUCUAGAGAUAGAGCCUUCCCCUUCGGGGGACAAAGUGACAGGUGGUGCAUGGUUGUCGUCAGCUCGUGUCGUGAGAUGUUGGGUUAAGUCCCGCAACGAGCGCAACCCUUAAGCUUAGUUGCCAUCAUUAAGUUGGGCACUCUAAGUUGACUGCCGGUGACAAACCGGAGGAAGGUGGGGAUGACGUCAAAUCAUCAUGCCCCUUAUGAUUUGGGCUACACACGUGCUACAAUGGACAAUACAAAGGGCAGCGAAACCGCGAGGUCAAGCAAAUCCCAUAAAGUUGUUCUCAGUUCGGAUUGUAGUCUGCAACUCGACUACAUGAAGCUGGAAUCGCUAGUAAUCGUAGAUCAGCAUGCUACGGUGAAUACGUUCCCGGGUCUUGUACACACCGCCCGUCACACCACGAGAGUUUGUAACACCCGAAGCCGGUGGAGUAACCAUUUGGAGCUAGCCGUCGAAGGUGGGACAAAUGAUUGGGGUGAAGUCGUAACAAGGUAGCCGUAUCGGAAGGUGCGGCUGGAUCACCUCCUUU